Molecule: long non-coding RNA, 5361 nt
Organism: Harpia harpyja (harpy eagle)
Lineage: Eukaryota; Metazoa; Chordata; Aves; Accipitriformes; Accipitridae
Exons: 3
Source: RefSeq, a predicted model, not a curated record
CAGAGAUGACAUCAGGCUGGCAGCAUAAGAUUGUAUUUUGCUGUGGCAGAAAUGAGGCCAGCAUUCCUGGAAAAGUCAACAAGAAUGUUGUGCAGAAAACUGCAGCUUCUAGAUUAUUCCCAAGGCCGAGCAGAAGCUCCUAUAGUGAGCAACAAAGUGCAUUGCAAAGAAAAAUUUUUGUUUCCUGUGCCUUGUGCCACAAACUGAAGCAAAGCAGGUCCCUCGCUGCCUCUUGCUCUCCCUCUGUCUAGGUAUAGCAUGAGAGUAGUUUGUUUGGGGCUGGGAACAUCAGGCUUUUAAACCACAUCCACGUGUUUUGCAACACAACUACCUGCAUAGUUUGCAAGUUAACACUAGAAAUCAGACAAUUCCAGCAGAGGAGGACUGCGCUGCCAGCCAUUUUCUUUCUGCUGUCCUGGACUACAUUUUGUCGUGCUCAUGUCCCAGGUUGUCAUAGCCUGAUUUUUUUUUAUACGUUGCUUAUUUAUGACAGCUUAAACUUCAUCUUGAUGCCAGGUAUUGAGUGUUUAUAAUCUCUUAUUUUCUAACAACUUGUACCUGGCUGUCAAGUGAAGAGGUCGCUGUAAUAGAAAAAUCAUUUGUCUUGUGCACAAAAUGAUACUGGUCUUUAAGAAGUAUGGUUUAAGGCCACAAAAGAGUAGGUAGCUUAGUAAGGUUCAGAGCUGAUGAAAACUUGUUUCCUGUGGAGUUUUUUUCUUACAGUGGGUUCUUCAGUGUCUAACAGUGCACACACCAUUUCUCUCUGCCCUGUGUGUGGAUUCUCCAGUGACUAAAAAAGUUGAGCUCUGCUGCAGUCUUUCCUUUAGCUGUGGUACUAAUCGGUUCUCCUGCCCCCUCUCUGAUACUUGGGUCAAUUAAGCUAACAGAUCUCUGAGACCAGAACCUCAUGUCAAAAUUUGGCCGAAAGAGCCUCAGAUAUUCAGAAGUUAAUAUGGUGAGCUAGACACUUUGACACGCAGCCUGCUGAUGUAACACUUGCUACCACAUGCGGACUGAAAUAUAUCUGUUUAAAAUCAGGCAAUACUGCAGGUACCUGAUCUCCCUUCUCCUCUCUUGUCUGAGCUGCUUGGCAUUUCCUCUCCCUGACUCUGCAGUGAAGGACUCCUGGGCUAGAAAUUAGGAUUCUGCAUCUGUUUCUCCUUUCUUUAGUAUAUAGUCAGGGUUACUUUCUUCUGUUUAGGGGAGUUGGCACAGUAUGUCUGGGACUGAGGUGAGGUCUCUGCCAAGUACUCAGUGGAGCUUUUAGAUCCACCAGUAUCUGACAGACUGAGAUUUUGUUUUGUCAGAUCCCUCACUUGACAUUGCUCACUACCCUUGUUGUAGCCCCUUACUUGCAUCCUUCUCUUCCAGCUCCCAGAGACACUUCUGAACACCUAUUCCUUCUCAUUAGGCAUCCAGGACAUCUCUUCUUGUCCAGACCCAAACAAAAAGUUUACGUGAUGGCUUUUGUAUGUGCAGACCAGACCUGUCUGCUGGCAAAUGCAGCUGAGCGUGACAAGAGGAGGUCACCAGGCAUCCUGGGCACUGUGCCGGAGCUGAAUGUCCUGGGAACAGAGGCUGUGGACAGCCACAUUGUGCGACCAUCCCUGGAAGGUGGUGUGGGCAGAGCUCGUGUGCACAGUAUACCUGGUGGGUGUAUCUCUGCGGCUUUUUGUCGGCUGUGUCACCUGGGCAGGUGUUCCUGUGCAGGCAGCUGAAAAGCGGAGUUGUGCUCAUUUACAUCAAAGCAGCUUCCUGUAAGCUCAUGCAGCCAGAGGCUCCUGUCAUGGGCAUGCAGGCACAGUUUCAAACGCAGCUUUCCAGGAGUGAAAACAUUCUCAUCUCUUGGACCACCCAAUUCCUUUUAAAUGAUGGGCUUUGCUUUCAGGAAAGAUCUCACCAUUCUCCUAGAAAUCUUGAUUUAUUCUGCUGCUCUGAUAAACUAUGAUUUAAAACAUGCUGAAGUGCCAGUUCAGGCUAAUAGCCCCUUCUCCUACACUGAAACGCAUCACUGCAAGUAGAAGACACAGUGCUUUGUAUCUGUCUCCCAAGAUGAGGGAGAGAAGAGCUGAGAGGUACGGGGCUCAGCCCGCAAAGACCGACUCACAGGCUGUCAGCUGAGCUUGGAGUUGGAAUCAGAUCCAGACAACAGAUCCCUGAAUUUAGGUGUCUAAUCUCCCACUCUAGUCAGUGGAGACUUCAUUACAGCAGUCAAUGGAGCUGGGUGUGUGAUUCAGCUGAUGAAAUGUAGGUAUCCAUCCUCUGGUGAGCUGAAUCCCUCAUGGCAGUGGGAGGUGGGACACUGACCUCAUACCACCGGUGUGUCGACACCACUGGGUACACAUCUACAGCCUGGAGGGAAGCCCAUCCCUGAUAAGGACGUGCUGAUGACAGGGAUUUGGUCUCCAGCUGCUGGCAUUGUCUCUCCAGUUCCCCCUCGCAGAGGCUGGAGCUGCUGAGCCCUCCGGAUGGUCUGAGCGUGUGUAGGCCAGCUUCAGCCCCUCUGUGUGGGGUGAGUGAGCACGUUAGACCUUAUUUAGCGUAGUCAAAAUGGCACUGGGAAAGAACACUCAAGGCUCUGCAAUAAAGAAACAACAUCGCUUUGUUAAAAUUAUUUUUACAACCUCAAUUGAUGAGUUCAGACAAAUAGACUUAACCGAGCCUUCUUAGUGUAUGAAAUGUCAAUAUCUACCACUUAUUUUUGAAGCUGUGUUUUAGAUUUUAUUUUCAAGACAAAAGAGUCAUUUAAAAUUAUGCAAAUGAGCUGCCAAACGCAAGGCAUUAUGCAGAUUUGUGGAGGCAGGCAGCAGAGAGUUAACCCUUGGUGCCGCAGCUGGCUGCGGAGGGAGUGCUGCCACAGCAGCUCUGCCUGAAUUCCUUUCAGCCCUUGCGCUCUUUAAUUACAAUGCUCCCGUGGCAGGGCCUGAGGUGCGAGGCUAACCCUCCGGCACGUGACCGAUGAUCAAGUGGGUUUAGGUUGAUGGAGGAGGUGUAUUUGCUGCAACGUUCACCUUGUAGUCCUGCCUGGCACCAGCUGUACCCAAAUCCAACCUGGGCACCUCAGAAAAGACAAGCAUCGUGGCUGUCGUCCGCUGUUUCAUACGAGUUGUUUCCAGAGUAUUUGAAGUGACUGUCAUGGGAGAAAUAUUAAAUUGUUUUUCAAAUGUUAGCAGUGCAGUAACACUUUAAAAACAAUUGACACCGUCAGCUAGAAGUCCUCCUAGCUCACUCGGCUGGCUGGUGUACACAAGAUGUGGUAGCAGCCUUGACUUUCUGGAGAGGAAGGCUCUUAAAAGAGCUCCAUGUUGUGCUAAUUUGUGGGUUCAAUAGCUCAUUAUCCCACCCACCUAUAAAGGUGGUGGAAAUAACUCUCAGCCAAGAACAGAUGGGUUUUGAUAGAAAUCCAAGGCCUGAUCUGCUCUGGAAGCUUGCCCUGAUCUCUGCAACCGAUGCCAACAGCUGACAUAGCCUCAUUGGAGCAAACACUAGUGCUGAGCAAGAAAGCCAAUGGUUUAUAGCAGUGGAGUAUGGCAAAUGGCAGGAGCUGGCAAAUCCCCAACACACUCAAGAGUGUAAGUGCAGCUAAUCUCUGAUGGAGGUGCCUGAUGCUGGGUUAAAAUAGUCAUGGUGACAGCCAAGCCUAGGGAGAAAGUUCACGUAGGGUGGUGUUGGAAGGGUUGGGUUUGUGCUUCAGCCGUGCCGAGGUGGGAUGCCAAGCCCCGUGAAUAUGGGGUUUGUUCAGUGUCAUGCGGGGACGGAUCCUGCUGAGGGCAGGAAGGAGUCUGGCUGCAGCACGGGGGGACUUGAUUCCACAUUUCCUCUUGCACUUCAGUUGCUCAUGGUUCUCUAUGAGGGAGCUCACGGAGCAGCACAGGUGCCAAGGAAAACACUGAGGCACUUGGCAUUUGCUUUCCAGUUGCUAAAUGAGGGGGGGGAAUCGUUUUUUCCCCUCUGCUAUCUUUGAAGAAAUACAUAUUUGUCUAGUGAAUGACUUCAGUAACACAUGUCUCAGUGCUGCUCUAGGAGUUGGGUAUAAUCUGGAUUUCUCUUCUGCAUCCCCUUACACCCAAACUCUUUCAAGUUUGCUCCACUCACCAAAUCGCUCCCUCGCUUCCUUUCUAGUUAAGGCUGUCAUUUCAAGCUGACUGUCUGAGCCGAUACAAAAUACUGAAUAAAUGCUUCAACGUAUUCAAACCUGGAUGCUAUCAGUGAAUUUACAGACUUAAAACCUAUGGCCAAUUUUAAACUGGAUACACAUGCACACGCACAAAGGUUAGCAUGGUUUAGCUACUUUGGUUUUGCUUGGUUUUAAGAGCAUUUUUGGCUCAAAAAUGUGAUGUCUGUCACGUAUUUGGAAAGAGUUGUCCAAAGCACAUGAUCAACAUCUGUUGGUUUCAGAUAUGCCAGAGCAGCUCAGCAAGAAUGUAAUAGAUGCAGAGAUCAGAGAAAACAUUGCUCCUGUGUAUUUUUUUUUUUUUUUAAGAUGGAUUAGGAGUUUUCCUGUUGCUCAGCUAUUUAAGCAAUGGACUGGUAAUCUGGCUAGUGAAAAAAAAGGCAAGAAACCCACCUACAUUGGUUCAGGUUUUUGUUAGUUUUGGAGGGAAUAGCUGAAAAGGAUAUAAAUCAGACACUGCCGCUGUACUGCACUUGCCUUGCCAGCUUAAAAGAACUAAACUAAACUAGUUUAAAUAGGCAGAAAUACUGCUUUGUGAUGGCCCAUAUCUCAAAACAAAUCUGAGCACAAAGACCAUGGAAGUUGCUAGGAAACCUCUAUAGUGCGCUGGAGAAGUUUUGCAGCGCAGGCACCUGUAAGAGAGUCAUCACCACCUGCCAGCCUGGGCAUUUCCCAGAGACUGCAGUACAAAAAUUGUAGUCUGCAUUCAUUUCCAUAAAUGAAGAAUCAGGAAAUGCCUCACAGCCCAUUUUAAAUCAGUGCAGCUUCAGGGGGCUGUAAGCCAUUCCCAGAACCAUCCCUGAAGACUCGACACGAAGGUUCUGUCCACACUAGCGCUGAAGCCCUGACUUCUGUGUUCAGGCAAGGUCUGACCAGGCUCCUUUGCUAGCACAUGCCUGCAGUCAUCUUAAUUAGGUUCUUAGCAAAGAUCUUUGCUUCCGUGGCUCUAACCUUCCCCAUGCUGAGAUUUCAAUAAGGUAACUUUAAGCCAGACUAACCCUCUGGAGGCAGGGCCACCCAGUCUCAUCUCUUUUGCACUUUGUCUCAGGGUGGGUUUUGCCAGCAGAGAUUUCAUGAAGGCAUGCUGUCACGUCAGGUGGUUUUUCUGCAUGGAGAUGCUCCAGAAAAUUGAGGUGAAUCAAUUUAAAAUGUUAAAGCUGCAUGUCCACAAUGUCAACGUGCACAAG